RNAcentral lists this long non-coding RNA (263 nucleotides) under Gorilla gorilla gorilla (western lowland gorilla). RNAcentral's name for it is "lncRNA (ENSGGOG00000044514.1)". The record is from RNAcentral. Lineage: Eukaryota; Metazoa; Chordata; Mammalia; Primates; Hominidae.
GCCUUCCCCAGCAUCGGUCUCCUGAUCUAAUAAACUUGAGGACCAGAUCCAUCUAAUGGGAUGUGCUGACCUGACAGGGAGAAAUGUUUCCUGGCUUACUGUCUGCUUGUAGUGUUGACUUCACUGGCAGUAGCAGGACAAUCGACAGUUCCUGAAAGUUGCAGUCCUGCUGGAUGCGGAAGAGGGGAAAUUUCAGGACAGUUCCUGAAUAUUCAGGCCUUCAAAGCCCCAUUCAAGGCCAGCACAGUGCCUCCAGAAUAAAG